GAACCGGGAUGAGCUCAAAUUUAAAAUCUGGCGUCUUUCAGGCGUCCGAGUUGUAAUCUAUAGAGGCGUUUUCCGCGCCGGACCGCGUCCAAGUCUCUUGGAAUAGAGUAUCAAAGAGGGUGACAAUCCCGUACUUGACGCGACAACCGGUGCUCUGUGAUACGUUCUCAAUGAGUCGAGUUGUUUGGGAAUGCAGCUCUAAAUGGGUGGUAAAUUCCAUCUAAGGCUAAAUAUUGGCGAGAGACCGAUAGCGAACAAGUACCGUGAGGGAAAGAUGAAAAGCACUUUGGAAAGAGAGUUAAACAGCACGUGAAAUUGUUAAAAGGGAAACGAUUGAAGUCAGUCGUGUGAAAGGUAUUCAGCCGUCUCUGGCGGUGUAUUUGCCUUUCACGGGUCAACAUCAGUUUGAUCCGGUAGAAAAAGGCGGGAGGAAGGUGGCACCCUCGGGUGUGUUAUAGCCUCCUGUCAUAUGUGCCGGACCAGACUGAGGAACGCAGCUUGCCGCAAGGCCGGGGUUCGCCCACGUACAAGCUUAGGAUGUUGACAUAAUGGCUUUAAACGACCCGUCU
This 569-nucleotide ribosomal RNA is filed under the name Vishniacozyma victoriae. RNAcentral describes it as "partial large subunit ribosomal RNA". It matches the Rfam family "Eukaryotic large subunit ribosomal RNA", at positions 95 to 654 of the family's 3401-position model. The record is from RNAcentral. Lineage: Eukaryota; Fungi; Basidiomycota; Tremellomycetes; Tremellales; Bulleribasidiaceae.